GGGGCGAAAUUCUUUCCGAGAGGCAGCCAUGGGGAAUCUCGCCCAAUGGGUGUUUCCCCAAAAAGAGCUAUCCCCGCGAAAAUCAAAAGUCUCUUAAGAUUGUAAUAUUUUUUCCCCGGGGGCGAUAAUGAGGGUACGCGGAGAAGACGCCCCGGCUACUUCGUCCCAGCAGCCGCGGUAAUGAAAAGGGCUCUAGCUUCUCUCGGAUUCACUGGGCGUAAAGGGAGCAUAGGCGCACAUUUAAGUCAGGGGUGAAAUCCCGGCGCUCACCCUCGGAAUUGCUUUUGAUUCUGGGUCUCUUGAGUAUGAGAGAGGUGUGUGGAACUCCGAGUGUAGAGGUGAAAUUCGUAGAUAUUCGGAAGAACACCAGUGGCGAAGGCGACACACUGGCUCAUUUCUGACGCUGAGGCUCGAAAGCGUGGAGAGCAAACAGG
This 434-nucleotide ribosomal RNA is filed under the name uncultured Eubacteriales bacterium. Its description in RNAcentral is "bacterial SSU rRNA". It matches the Rfam family "Bacterial small subunit ribosomal RNA", at positions 327 to 776 of the family's 1533-position model. Lineage: Bacteria; Bacillati; Bacillota; Clostridia; Eubacteriales. The record is from RNAcentral.